This is a long non-coding RNA of Mangifera indica (mango), 693 nucleotides long. RefSeq lists it as uncharacterized. The record is from RefSeq and is a predicted model, not a curated record. NCBI's taxonomy places the organism in Eukaryota, Viridiplantae, Streptophyta, Magnoliopsida, Sapindales, Anacardiaceae. The transcript is spliced from 2 exons.
CCAUGCAUUCUGAACAUUUGGCGUCUUCUUUUGCCUAAUCAGAAAUUUCGCCUUCUUGCAAACAUAAUGUCGUGGGUAGAUGAUGUAUCAACAUUACCCCCAUUAUCUCCGUUAUGCUAAGAUUUAAAUUUACCCUUCUGCUACUCCCUUCAUGUCCGCUGUCAGAUUAAUUAUUCAAUAUCAUGAAUCUCCUUCAUCUUCUUGUUCCCCAAACCCAGCUGCUGCUACCAGAGUCAGGAGCCAUAGAAUCAAACUACUUCCACACUCAGUAUCCAGCCGGCAGCCACUGUGCAACAAGCCCUUGCGAACCUGAAUAAUAUCACACUGCUAGCAAGUGAAUAAGGUAAUCCUUUUACACUGGAAAAGCCACAAUGAUCAACCAACGAAAAGCACCCAAGCUGCUUUAUCUUCUUGUUAUUUAAAUCUUCAUUUUCCUUAUCGUGUUAGUCUUCUUUAACAAUUUUCUGGAAAAAUGCUUCGUCUCUGCAAAUAGUCCAGUUGUUCAAUAAGAUUCCUCCAAACAAUAAGAAGAAGGCCAAAAGACUUAUUCCCACCUAAAUUUAGUGCAAAUGUAAUCUCAUAUCCGUUAACUUUCGAAAAUCUUAAUACUUACUUAUUUAUUAAAUUUUACUGUUACUAUUAGAGGCCCUUUAAUUCCAGUUUUUAAAGAUUACCUUAGUAAUCUAUCUUUUA